Molecule: long non-coding RNA, 1228 nt
Filed under: Numida meleagris (helmeted guineafowl)
Lineage: Eukaryota; Metazoa; Chordata; Aves; Galliformes; Numididae
Description: lncRNA (ENSNMEG00000021570.1)
Source: RNAcentral
AUUUUCAAGGUAGAGACAGGUCAACUUGGUUUCUAGAGAUAUGGUGCUAUUCAGUAUUCCAUCCCCCACUUCAUCCUCCGAUUUCAAGAGGAGAAAGAAACUCCUCAAAUAUUUUUUAUAUUGACUUUUGUUCCUUUUGCUUAUCUGCUGCUUACUUUUAGUUUGAGAAAUAAAUAUAAUAAUAUUGCUUAUAUGGAACUUUUUUCACAUAUUUACAGAAAUGAAAAUUUAAGUUUCCAGUUACUGCUCUCUUGAACGGAGGAACUGCCACCUUUUAUAGCCGUAGAAAACAAGAACCUGUGAGACUAAAUGUUCCUGGAUAAGGAUAUAGGAGGGAAGACUAAGUCAUAAGUAUUCAGCUUUAGACAAGUUUGGCAGAUCCAGAAUCAUGAGGUGGGUGGCUAAUGUAUGGAAGUAUGCUGUUAUAUUGCCAGAACUCACAAUCAGCAGGCAUUUCUUUAGUGUCAUUCAGAAACUGUGCUUUAACAAGGUCAUGGAAGAUUUUUACUGUAUUGCUGAUUUACCACUUACCAUUGAAUACUACGACCUUGACCACAUUACCUGCAGCUAUGUUUAGUAAAGUAGAUUAUAGAAUUAUGUAAAAUUCUGAUUUGGAAGACAUCCACAAGGAUCAUCAAGUCCAACUCCUGGCUCCACACAGUACUACCUACCUGAGUAUACUCUAAGAUGAAAGAUGGUCUAUGGUUUUGCAUGGACUGUAGAGAACACAGAAGGGCUUGGUAUGAUACUGAGGCAGCUUUGGAGACACUGAGGUUUGACUGAAUCAGCCACAUAGUCCCUGCUUGUUUUGGGAUAGUUAAAAGAUUUGAUGAGCACUGGGUAUAUACUACUGCUCACAAUUUUCCCUGAUGCUAACAUCAUGCCUUACCUGAAAAUCCCUAUUAAACAUCAUGGCCAUUCAUAUUUGUCUUAUUAUUAUGCAGAAAGUGACAGUGCAUUGUUGUAGGCUGUUAAAAAAACAUAACUUUUCCAACUGGCAUAAGCAUACAUGGUCCUUCAGAUAGAAAGGAUAUUCCUAUUUCUCCUGAAACCACCACAAUGUUUAGGUACUAUGGAUUGUUAUCAGACGGACUUGUAGGUUGAGUCAGAUGGUCAGCUCCACCAUAGUCACGUGGCAGUUCUAAAAAUUCAUAAAAAUAUCUGUUUUCCAGAUGAUUAUUACCAUCCUUUUCACAGAGAAGAUAACAAAAUUUUUUUGAAGUCCCUG